Molecule: ribosomal RNA, 463 nt
Filed under: Hymenoscyphus fraxineus
Lineage: Eukaryota; Fungi; Ascomycota; Leotiomycetes; Helotiales; Helotiaceae
Description: eukaryotic LSU rRNA
Rfam family: 5.8S ribosomal RNA (bases 142-295)
Source: RNAcentral
CGGGUAGAAACCCCACCCUUGUGUAUAUUAUAUUGUUGCUUUAGCAGGUCGCCCUCUGGGCGUCGGCCUCGGCUGACUGUGCCUGCUAGAGGACCCUAAAUUUUGAAAUACAGUGUCGUCUGAGUACUAUUUAAUAGUUAAAACUUUCAACAACGGAUCUCUUGGUUCUGGCAUCGAUGAAGAACGCAGCGAAAUGCGAUAAGUAAUGUGAAUUGCAGAAUUCAGUGAAUCAUCGAAUCUUUGAACGCACAUUGCGCCCCUUGGUAUUCCGGGGGGCAUGCCUGUUCGAGCGUCAUUUAGACCAACUCCCGCUCCGGCGGGGUCUUGGGCUGCGCCUUUGGGCGGGCCUUAAAACCAGUGGCGGUGCCCUAAGGCUCUACGCGUAGUAAUUCUUCUCGCGAUAGGGUCCUUGCGGUGUCUUGCCAGCAACCCCCAACUCUCUAGGGUUGACCUCGGAUCAGUG